GUAGGGAAUAUUGGGCAAUGGUCGGAAGACUGACCCAGCCAUGCCGCGUGCAGGAAGACGGCCCUCUGGGUUGUAAACUGCUUUUAUCUGGGAAGAAAAAGGCCAUGCGUGGCAAAUUGCCGGUACCAGAUGAAUAAGCACCGGCUAACUCCGUGCCAGCAGCCGCGGUAAUACGGAGGGUGCGAGCGUUGUCCGGCUUUAUUGGGUUUAAAGGGUGCGUAGGCGGCUGAUUAAGUCAGCGGUGAAAGACUUCGGCUUAACCGGAGCAGUGCCGUUGAUACUGGUUGGCUUGAGUGUCGGAGGGGUACAUGGAAUUGAUGGUGUAGCGGUGAAAUGCAUAGAUACCAUCAGGAACACCGAUAGCGAAGGCAUUGUACUGGCCGACAACUGACGCUGAUGCACGAAAGUGUGGGGAUCGAACAGGAUUAGAUACCCUGGUAGUCC
RNAcentral lists this ribosomal RNA (444 nucleotides) under uncultured bacterium. Its description in RNAcentral is "partial 16S ribosomal RNA". It matches the Rfam family "Bacterial small subunit ribosomal RNA", at positions 354 to 796 of the family's 1533-position model. The record is from RNAcentral.